GUAGGGAAUAUUGGGCAAUGGAUGCAAGUCUGACCCAGCCAUCCCGCGUGCCGGAAGAAGGCCCUCAGGGUUGUAAACGGCUUUUGACGGUGAAGAAUCGACAGGAUGCGUCCUGUUUUGACGGUAGCCGUUGAAUAAGCACCGGCUAACUCCGUGCCAGCAGCCGCGGUAAUAUGGAGGGUGCGAGCGUUGUCCGGAUUUAUUGGGUUUAAAGGGUGCGUAGGCUGGAAGGUCAGUCAGCGGUGAAAAGCUGUCGCUUAACGAUAGUCUUGCCGCAGAUACUUCCUUUCUUGGAUGAGGAGGAGGCCACUGGAACGGAUGGUGUAGCGGUGAAAUGCAUAGAUAUCAUCCAGAACACCGAUUGCGAAGGCAGGUGGCUGUACCUUAAUCGACGCUGAUGCACGAAAGCAUGGGGAGCAAACAGGAUUAGAAACCCCAGUAGUCC
Molecule: ribosomal RNA, 445 nt
Filed under: uncultured bacterium
Lineage: Bacteria
Description: partial 16S ribosomal RNA
Rfam family: Bacterial small subunit ribosomal RNA
Source: RNAcentral